GCCGUCUUUAUCCACUGGAAGCUCAAAGAGAAGUCAUAGAGGCUUAAAGCAGAAUGCAUGGUGUUGUCUAGUCAAACAGCUCAUGGUCCCUGAUUUAACAGCAUCUGGAUGUGAACAGAAAGUUCAGUCUUACAGAUUUAGCACCAGAGCAGAACUCUCAGGUGGGCUGUGGGUGUGACGUCCACAGCUCACACACGUUUCCAUCAGACUCUUCUCAUGUGACUUUCACUUGAUUCACUUUAAACUCCUUCACCUUUGUCUGUUUGAAAAAUGCCAGUCAGACGUUCUGAUUGAACCGCAGGGUGGAAGAGGGCUGCUGUUGUUGCCCUGGUUACACAUUCAUCACAUGAAGUGGUGGGAAGUAACCGGAGCUGUGCUGAUGGUUGUGUGUCCUGAUGUGGUGUGAGUACAGCGGGUGGAGUGAUCAGAGGUUUGUUCUCCUGUAAAGGAACAACAUGUGUGCUCGUGAAGCAGACUGGGCGGGCAUCUUCCUUAUCAACGGAGCGAUAUGGAUGAAAAAUAGCCUCAGAGACGCUGUAAGCACACGUCCCGCCUCAGUCAGCCGCCUUUGUACACUGUAGCUGCUGGGAUUCUGUGGCUGGGAUUCACACUCAUCACUCAUCACAGGACUGGGCAGCUGUCACGACUGGACCAAAGCUACAGAACACCACCGCUCAUUACGUCCCAGCCGCUCCACAUCUGUCCAUUUUUUCAUUUGUUUCCUCCAAUGGAUUAAAUACAGACAUUCAACCACAACAAAGAAAUAAACAUAAUUCCUGCUUGAAUAUAAGUAUGCAUAAUAUAUUUCAUAACAAAAAUAAAGCAUCUUCCUGUACUGACUCUCACAUCUCCUCCUUGCACACAUAUAUCCAAACCAUAUACAAGACUUGACAUCAAUCAGAUAUACUGUAAUAUAAUAAGAAACAUGGCUGACAAGAAAAACAACAACUAGAAAAAAUGACACUGAGAUUGUGAUGCUGACGGCUGCACAGAACCAGACCACACAGGACUCGUGCAUGUCUGCAAAAUUAGUAAAAACACUCUUUUUGUUCUUUCUUUUGUACUGGAGGAGACAGAAAGCAAACGUCCACACAUAUAAAUAGUUUGUAAGUAGCGGCGCAUCUUCCUUUUUCAAAUUGAACUGUACAUAACAGAGUCCCAGACAACCAGAGAAGCUCAACUCUUCUCUCAGUGAUCGUCCAGUGACUCUUAAAAGUCUGAAGCUCCACAGAGAGUCUUUUGAAGAAAUAAAACGCUCUCCAUCCCUCUCUUCUUUUCUCUCCACUGUUUUUUCUGUGUCUCUCUCUCCCUUCCUGUGUGUGCACGACUCAUUAAACGAGGCAGGGCCCUUGUGUUGAGUCGGAUUCCCGUGAAAGAACGAUCCAACUGUUCAGUAGCGUUUCUGCUGUGAGUCUCAUUCAAACAAAGUCAGUGAAGAUGUUCAACACGUAUCCCUUUCAUCAUCUCCCUGCUGAGCUCCACAGCAUCUUCUCCUCUUAAUCAGCGGCACAGUUCAGCUGUCUGUGGAAACCAUCGUCACUGGUCACCGUUUAGUUUUUAAAAAGCACCUUUGGCAUCGUAUUGAUUUUUGUCUGCUGUCUAUUUCUCAGUCUCUCCACUUUACAGAACAGUUAGUUGUGUUUUUAAACGAAGGUUGCAUAACAGCGGGGAAGAGGACGGAGCAGGCAUCCCAUCGGUGGCGUCCUCCAUACUCAGGUCCUUCCCACGCUGAAGUCCCCUGUUCUGACUGGUCUCACCUCACAUCCACUGCAGGAAAGACAAACAGAGCUGAGAUUAGUACUGCAAGUUCACAAUCACAACACAUGCACUUCAUGAUGAAAUAAAAAAUAUUUAGAGCCCACUGUCAUGGAUUUGGUCAUGCACUUCAAGCAAACUGACACAACACACACAAGACCCC
Amphiprion ocellaris (clown anemonefish) is the source of this 1918-nucleotide long non-coding RNA. NCBI's taxonomy places the organism in Eukaryota, Metazoa, Chordata, Actinopteri, Pomacentridae. The record is from Ensembl.